Molecule: ribosomal RNA, 1242 nt
Filed under: Scopalina hispida
Lineage: Eukaryota; Metazoa; Porifera; Demospongiae; Bubarida; Dictyonellidae
Description: eukaryotic LSU rRNA
Rfam family: Eukaryotic large subunit ribosomal RNA
Source: RNAcentral
AAGGAGUGCAACACGCCCGCGAGUCUUUGGGUGGCAAACCCGCCGGCGAAAUGAAAGUGAAGGCGCCCUCGGGGUGCCGAGGCGAGAGCCGCGAGAAAGGCGGUGCAUCGUCGACCGAUCCUAUCCACGCCGUGGGGGGAUUCGAGUUAGAGCGUGCCUGUUGCGACCCGAAAGAUGGUGAACUAUGCCUGAAUAGGGUGAAGCCAGAGGAAACUCUGGUGGAAGCUCGUAGCGAUUCUGACGUGCAAAUCGAUCGUCAAAUUUGGGUAUAGGGGCGAAAGACUAAUCGAACCAUCUAGUAGCUGGUUCCCUCCGAAGUUUCCCUCAGGAUAGCUGGAACCCGGAGCAGUUUUAUCAGGUAAAGCGAAUGAUUAGAGGUCUUGGGGUUGAAACAACCUCAACCUAUUCUCAAACUUUAAAUGGGUAAGAAGCCUGGCUUGCUCGAUUGAAGUCAGGCAUGGAAUGCCGGGGUUCCUAGUGGGCCAUUUUUGGUAAGCAGAACUGGCGAUGCGGGAUGAACCGAACGCCGGGUUAAGGUGCCCGAAUCGGCGCUCAUCAGACACCAUGAAAGGUGUUGGUUGAUCUAGACAGCAGGACGGUGGCCAUGGAAGUCGGAAUCCGCUAAGGAGUGUGUAACAACUCACCUGCCGAAUCAACUAGCCCUGAAAAUGGAUGGCGCUCAAGCGCCGUACCCAUACCCGGCCGUCGGGGCGAGAGGCCUGUCCCGACGAGUAGGAGGGCGCGGUGGUGGCCGUGCAUCCCGAGGCGCGAGCCUGGGCGAAGCCGCCUCCGGUGCAGAUCUUGGUGGUAGUAGCAAAUAUUCAAACGAGAGCUUUGAAGACUGAAGUGGAGAAAGGUUCCAUGUGAACAGCAGUUGGACAUGGGUUAGUCGAUCCUAAGAGAUGGGGAAGCUCCCUAGCAAGGGUGCACUCACUUCUGUGACCGCACCGUCCAUCGAAAGGGAAUCGGGUUAACAUUCCCGAACCGGGACGAGGAUAAGGCCUCGCGCCUACGGCGGCAACGCAAGCGAACUCGGAGACGCCGGCGGGAGCUCCGGGAAGGGUUCUCUUUCCUUCUUAACGGACCGUCACCCUGGAAUCAGAUUGGCUGGAGAUAGGGUCGAAUGUCCGGUAAAGCGCCGCACCUCUGGCGGUGUCCGGUGCGCUCUCGACGGCCCCUGAAAAUCCGAGGGAGCGAAUGAUUCUCUCGCCCGGUCGUACUCAUAACCGCAGCAGGUCUCCA